RNAcentral lists this ribosomal RNA (492 nucleotides) under uncultured bacterium. RNAcentral describes it as "partial 16S ribosomal RNA". It matches the Rfam family "Bacterial small subunit ribosomal RNA", at positions 29 to 507 of the family's 1533-position model. The record is from RNAcentral.
AGUGAACGCUGGCGGUAGGCCUAACACAUGCAAGUCGAACGGCAGCACAGUAAGAGCUUGCUCUUACGGGUGGCGAGUGGCGGACGGGUGAGGAAUACAUCGGAAUCUACUUUUUCGUGGGGGAUAACGUAGGGAAACUUACGCUAAUACCGCAUACGACCUACGGGUGAAAGCAGGGGAUCUUCGGACCUUGCGCGAUUGAAUGAGCCGAUGUCGGAUUAGCUAGUUGGCGGGGUAAAGGCCCACCAAGGCGACGAUCCGUAGCUGGUCUGAGAGGAUGAUAAGCCACACUGGAACUGAGACACGGUCCAGACUCCUACGGGAGGCAGCAGUGGGGAAUAUUGGACAAUGGGCGAAAGCCUGAUCCAGCCAUACCGCGUGGGUGAAGAAGGCCUUCGGGUUGUAAAGCCCUUUUGUUGGGAAAGAAAAGCAGCAGGUUAAUACCCCGCUGUUCUGACGGUACCAAAAGAAUAAGCACCGGCUAACUUCGUG